Molecule: ribosomal RNA, 793 nt
Filed under: uncultured archaeon
Lineage: Archaea
Description: bacterial SSU rRNA
Rfam family: Archaeal small subunit ribosomal RNA
Source: RNAcentral
ACGGCUCAGUAACACGUGGACAACCUGCCCAAAGGUCCGGGAUAACCCCGGGAAACUGGGGAUAAUACCGGAUAGGUCACAAAUACUGGAAGGUUUUGUGGCCGAAACUUCCGGGGCCUUUGGAUGGGUCUGCGGCUGAUUAGGUUGUUGCCGGUGUAACGUACCGUCAAGCCUGUAAUCAGUACGGGUUGUGGGAGCAAGAGCCCGGAGAUGGAUUCUGAGACACGAAUCCAGGCCCUACGGGGCGCAGCAGGCGCGAAAACUCUACAAUGCAGGCAACUGCGAUAGGGGAACAUCGAGUGAUACUCAUCUUGGGUGUCUGUCCUCCCGUCUAAAAAACGGGAGUUAGCAAGGGCCGGGCAAGACCGGUGCCAGCCGCCGCGGUAAUACCGGCGGCUCGAGUGGUGACCGAUAUUAUUGAGUCUAAAGGGUCCGUAGCCGGCUUUGCAAGUCUUUUGGGAAAUCCAGCGGCUUAACCGUUGGGCGUCCGGGAGAUACUACAUUGCUUGGGACUGGGAGAGGUAGGAGGUACUCAGGGGGUAGGAGUGAAAUCCUGUAAUCCUUUGGGGACCACCGGUGGCGAAGGCGUCCUACCAGAACAGGUCCGACGGUGAGGGACGAAAGCUAGGGGCACGAACCGGAUUAGAUACCCGGGUAGUCCUAGCCGUAAACGAUGCUCGCUAGGUGUCACAACAAUCGUGAAUUGUUGUGGUGCCGUAGGGAAGCCGUGAAGCGAGCCACUUGGGAAGUACGACCGCAAGGUUGAAACUUAAAGGAAUUGGCGGGGGAGCAC